CAUGCAAGUCGAGCGAGAAAAUGGCUUCGGCCAUGAGUACAGCGGCGGACGGGUGAGUAAUACAUGGAUAAUCUGCCUUUAGGACUGGGACAACCCUGGGAAACUAGGGCUAAUACCGGAUAAGACCACAGAAUCUGCGGAUUCAGUGGUAAAAGGUGGCUUUCGGGCUAUCACCUAGAGAUGAGUCCAUGUCCCAUCAGGUUGUUGGUGAGGUAACGGCCCACCAAGCCUAAGACGGGUAGCCGGCCUUAGCGGGUGAUCGGCCACACGGGGACUGAGACACGGCCCCGACUCCUACGGGAGGCAGCAGUGGGGAAUAUUGGACAAUGGGCGCAAGCCUGAUCCAGCAAUACCGCGUGAGGGAUGAAGGCCCUAGGGUUGUAAACCUCUGUCAGUUGGAACGAUGGGUUUGUAGGUUAAUACCCUGCAAACUUGACGGUACCUUCAAAGGAAGCCCCGGCUAACUCCGUGCCAGCAGCCGCGGUAAUACGGAGGGGGCAAGCGUUGCUCGGAAUUACUGG
This 521-nucleotide ribosomal RNA is filed under the name uncultured bacterium. Its description in RNAcentral is "bacterial SSU rRNA". It matches the Rfam family "Bacterial small subunit ribosomal RNA", at positions 54 to 557 of the family's 1533-position model. The record is from RNAcentral.